AACGUGGACCACGUGUUGUCAUGGAGACGUAGUCACAAACCCGACUAAAUACAAUCUAGGGAGCAACAGUAGAAACAGCAUCGACGGUUACAUAUCACAGAACAGCUAAACUAAAAAAUUAAACAGAAUACAUAAUUUAAAAAAAAAAAAUUGAAAUGGAAUAUGUUGGGAGCAUCUAUGAAGGAGAGUACCAUAAUGGCAGGUUGGAAGGGAGUGGAGUGUAUACCCUCCAAACUGGGACUCGAUAUGAAGGGGAAAUGAAGGAUGGGAUGUAUCAUGGCAAAGGAACGCUCCACUUCCCCCUUGGAAAUAAAUAUGAAGGGAUUUGGGAAAAAGGAAUCGCAGUAGAGGGAAAGUACACAUUUGCAGAUGGACUUAAAUACAAGGAUAAAGACUGGGAGUACUGCGACGGUUACGACCGGAAGUUUUACACAGAAAUCUGUAAUGGACUUAAACCAGCAGGUCGUUCACAGCUAACCAACUUAGACUCACCAAGAGAGAUCACAGAAGGGUGUUAUGACUGUGGGGAUGGAUUUUAUAACCCCCAGACCAGAGUCAUCAUAGAUUACAAAAACACAUUUUUGAGAAAUGCAGAUUUGUCCAUUAUCAUGUAUGCUUGGACCCCCAGGAACACUAGUGCAUCAGAGGACUGUACUUACUCAGCAUGAAGAGGAACUGGACUCCCCCAAGAGAGACGGUACAGGCUACAGGGCCAGAGCAGCAGAGGAAAAGAAAAGGAACAGCUGCAGGUGGGAGGAACGAAGGGAAAAAGCCUGGAAUAAAAGGGACCGGGCCCAGAACUACUGCUCUGUAGGCUGGGCAGGAAGGGACAGGAAAUGCCCAGGAUUCAGGCCAAGUCUUGAAAAGCAGCAAAAGCAGAUGAUGAUGAUGAGCACGAAUGGAUUGUCAGGACCUGUCGAAAAAGUUGGGAUGAGAUAACUGGAUACAAGCCUAAACAUUAACAGCAGACAUUCUCUGCUUCUUGGUUUAUCUUUAGUUUCUCAAAAACAUACAUUUUACUUUCUUGCUGUUUCACAAUUUUGCAAUAAACAAGCUGCAAAUAUAUUGCGGUCUAGUUUGUGUGAUAGCAGAAUGCUUCUUAAUAGGUUUCUUUCAAACAUUUUCAAGAUGUGUUGUCCUGUUUUGUACACAAAACACAAAUUUCGUAUUUUAAUCAUGUUCUGGCAAUUGUCAGAAAAAAGACAGGAACUUUGAAAUACAAAAUAGUCACAUUUCUGUCAGCUGUUCUAAUUUAGAUUGUGCUACCUUUGUUACUUUAUGUUUGUUUAAUUAUAUAAGAAAGGUAAAUACUAUUGUAGAGAAGGAGUUGAAGUAAUAUAACUAAACCCCAAACCAGACAUUAAUAUCUGCUUUCUGUAUACUACAGAUGAUCUCAUAAGCGUAGCAAGUAGGUUGCAAUCAAUGGAAAGAUUCUAUUACUGACUCAAUGCAAACCAGCUUUUUGUGGUAGUUGUUACGGUAUUUUUUUUAAUAAGAAUGGGAAUAAAACAUUUACCCGCGAGGUUUUACACUAAAUAAUUGUCCAACAAACUAGGUGGGGUAGAAGAAAAAUAAAGCUGUCAAGUUGAUAAUUUGGAAUAUAUUGUAACACGCAAA
RNA transcript from Acipenser ruthenus (sterlet), 1617 nucleotides. It is a transcript of the gene named MORN repeat-containing protein 5-like, with no coding region annotated. The record is from RefSeq and is a predicted model, not a curated record. The transcript has 7 exons. NCBI's taxonomy places the organism in Eukaryota, Metazoa, Chordata, Actinopteri, Acipenseriformes, Acipenseridae.